RNAcentral lists this ribosomal RNA (492 nucleotides) under uncultured bacterium. Its description in RNAcentral is "partial 16S ribosomal RNA". It matches the Rfam family "Bacterial small subunit ribosomal RNA", at positions 29 to 507 of the family's 1533-position model. The record is from RNAcentral.
AGUGAACGCUGGCGGUAGGCCUAACACAUGCAAGUCGAACGGCAGCACAGUAAGAGCUUGCUCUUACGGGUGGCGAGUGGCGGACGGGUGAGGAAUACAUCGGAAUCUACUUUUUCGUGGGGGAUAACGUAGGGAAACUUACGCUAAUACCGCAUACUACCUACGGGUGAAAGCAGGGGAUCUUCGGACCUUGCGCGAUUGAAUGAGCCGAUGUCGGAUUAGCUAGUUGGCGGGGUAAAGGCCCACCAAGGCGACGAUCCGUAGCUGGUCUGAGAGGAUGAUCAGCCACACUGGAACUGAGACACGGUCCAGACUCCUACGGGAGGCAGCAGUGGGGAAUAUUGGACAAUGGGCGCAAGCCUGAUGCAGCCAUGCCGCGUGGAUGAAGAAGGCCUUCGGGUUGUAAAGCACUUUCGUUGGGGAGGAAGAGAAGAAAGUUAAUACCUCGGCGUUUUGACGGUACCCGCAGAAUAAGCACCGGCUAACUCCGUG